RNAcentral lists this ribosomal RNA (253 nucleotides) under uncultured bacterium. Its description in RNAcentral is "partial 16S ribosomal RNA". It matches the Rfam family "Bacterial small subunit ribosomal RNA", at positions 524 to 776 of the family's 1533-position model. The record is from RNAcentral.
GACGUAGGGCGCAAGCGUUGUCCGGAAUUAUUGGGCGUAAAGAGCUCGUAGGCGGCUUGUCACGUCGGUUGUGAAAGCCCGGGGCUUAACCCCGGGUCUGCAGUCGAUACGGGCAGGCUAGAGUGUGGUAGGGGAGAUCGGAAUUCCUGGUGUAGCGGUGAAAUGCGCAGAUAUCAGGAGGAACACCGGUGGCGAAGGCGGAUCUCUGGGCCAUUACUGACGCUGAGGAGCGAAAGCGUGGGGAGCGAACAGG